UACGAGGGGGGCGAGCGUUGUUCGGAAUUAUUGGGCGUAAAGAGCUCGUAGGCGGUUUGUCGCGUCUGCUGUGAAAACCCGAGGCUCAACCUCGGGCCUUGCAGUGGGUACGGGCAGACUAGAGUGCGGUAGGGGAGAUUGGAAUUCCUGGUGUAGCGGUGGAAUGCGCAGAUAUCAGGAGGAACACCAAUGGCGAAGGCAGAUCUCUGGGCCGUAACUGACGCUGAGGAGCGAAAGCAUGGGGAGCGAACAGG
RNAcentral lists this ribosomal RNA (254 nucleotides) under uncultured bacterium. RNAcentral's name for it is "partial 16S ribosomal RNA". It matches the Rfam family "Bacterial small subunit ribosomal RNA", at positions 524 to 776 of the family's 1533-position model. The record is from RNAcentral.